UACGUAGGGUCCAAGCGUUGUCCGGAAUCACUGGGCGUAAAGAGUUCGUAGGCGGUCCGUCACGUCGGCUGUGAAAACCUGGGGCUCAACCCCGGGCCUGCAGCCGAUACGGGCGGACUAGAAUUCGGUAGGGGAGACUGGAAUUCCUGGUGUAGCGGUGAAAUGCGCAGAUAUCAGGAGGAACGCCGGUGGCGAAGACAGGUCGCUGGGCCGAUAUUGACGCUGAGGAGCGAAAGCGUGGGGAGCGAACGGG
This 253-nucleotide ribosomal RNA is filed under the name uncultured bacterium. RNAcentral describes it as "partial 16S ribosomal RNA". It matches the Rfam family "Bacterial small subunit ribosomal RNA", at positions 524 to 776 of the family's 1533-position model. The record is from RNAcentral.